AUACGGAGGAUGCAAGCGUUAUCCGGAUUUAUUGGGUUUAAAGGGUGCGUAGGCGGUUUGCUAAGCGGGAGGUGAAAUGCCGGCGCUCAACGUCGGAGGUGCCUCCCGAACUGGUGGACUGGAAUGACUCUGCCGUGGGAGGAAUGUGUAGUGUAGCGGUGAAAUGCUUAGAGAUUACACAGAACACCGAUUGCGAAGGCAUCUCACGAAGGGUUGAUUGACGCUGAGGCACGAAAGCGUGGGGAUCAAACAGGAUUAGAUACCCUGGUAGUCCACGCAGUAAACGAUGAUGGCUAACCGCUGGUUUAUUCGGAUCAGUGGCCAAGCGAAAGCGAUAAGCCAUCCACCUGGGGAGUACGACCGCAAGGUUGAAACUCAAAGGAAUUGACGGGG
Molecule: ribosomal RNA, 393 nt
Filed under: uncultured bacterium
Lineage: Bacteria
Description: partial 16S ribosomal RNA
Rfam family: Bacterial small subunit ribosomal RNA
Source: RNAcentral